Molecule: long non-coding RNA, 1148 nt
Organism: Cebus imitator (Panamanian white-faced capuchin)
Lineage: Eukaryota; Metazoa; Chordata; Mammalia; Primates; Cebidae
Exons: 2
Source: RefSeq, a predicted model, not a curated record
UCAAACUCUUGGGCUCAAGCUCUCUACCUGUCCUGGCCUCUCAAAGUGCUGGGAUUAUGGGUGUGAACCAUCAUGCCGGGCCGCUAAAUACAUUAAAUGCAUUAUAUAAUUUCAUUCUCACAACCCUGAGAACCAAGUACUGUUACUAUGUCCAUUUUUUUAUGAAGCACAGAUAAGGUAAAUAACUUUAAUGAGACCACAAAACCUAAGUUUUUAAAUUGAUACUUUAAUUAUGAUAAUUCACCAAGUGCAUGUCUCCCAUGAAUGUCUUGCAACGACAGCAUCAGGUCUGAAAAAAUGUGGUUGCUUUGGCAUUUCAUCAGCAUCUUGUGCCAUUCACAAUAACUUUGAAUAUUGUUCCUAAUGAGGAUAUACAUUCUCUGUACCUUCAUCGAAUUUAGCAUGAUUCCUCUGGCUAUUGAGAAUAGUCAUAACUACUGGAACUAAACUGGAUAAACUUGGAUAAGUUGAUGUUUCCUAAUCAAUUACUGGCUACCAAACCUGGCUCAAGGUUUUUAGACACCAACAUAAGCAUUCCAUUAAAUGAUACUAAUUUUGAGAGGCAUGUGAUGGCAACAUUUCCUGGAUCAAUUCCUCCUGCCUUAAGGAUACUCCACUGAAUUUGAUUGUGGUACAUACUAUGUUUGCUUUUAUAAAUUACUUAGGCCAACACUUGGUCCAAGUUGUCUUUGUAAAUGAAAAUUAUAAAUAUUUAAUGUGCUUUCAGUUACAUCCGUAUUUCUUCUGAUGGAUGUUUGCAGACAGCUUUAUCUGGUGAGACAUUCUAUUAUUUGUAAAAUUUAAGUUAAGCAAUAUUACCAUUUCAUUUAAUUCCAGUUUAGCACAAGUUUUUCCUUUGUAUACAAAUCUCCACAAGAGCAUUUAACACAUUUCAGUAUUUAGAAAUGUAAAUAUGUAUUUAAAAGUAGAUAGCAAAUUAAAAAGGAAUACUUGCUUGAAAUCAUAAAAUAUAAUACAGUUUCUUUUAAACAGUUAAUUUUCUUCCUACAAUUUACUUUCAUUGAAAGUAUGUUAUCAUUGUUUACAUACUAGAUAGAAGCAAUUUAGCAACAUAAAAUAUAUUAGCUAUAAUAUGUUCAAAAGAAUGAGAUGCAGAUUCAGAGAUGAAACCAUCAUUUUUUGCAGUU